UCCCUGGUGGCUCAGAUGGUAAAGCAUCUGCCUGCAAUGCAGGAGACCCAGGUUCGAUCCCUGGGUUGGGAA
Transfer RNA from Ovis aries (sheep), 72 nucleotides. It matches the Rfam family "tRNA". From Rfam's summary of the family: Transfer RNA (tRNA) molecules are approximately 80 nucleotides in length. Their secondary structure includes four short double-helical elements and three loops (D, anti-codon, and T loops). The record is from Rfam. NCBI's taxonomy places the organism in Eukaryota, Metazoa, Chordata, Mammalia, Artiodactyla, Bovidae.